This 73-nucleotide transfer RNA is filed under the name bacterium. RNAcentral's name for it is "tRNA-Gly". It matches the Rfam family "tRNA". Rfam says of the family: Transfer RNA (tRNA) molecules are approximately 80 nucleotides in length. Their secondary structure includes four short double-helical elements and three loops (D, anti-codon, and T loops). The record is from RNAcentral.
GCGAGCGUAACUCAGUCGGUAGAGUCCUUGCUUCCCAAGCAAGUGGUCGUGGGUUCGACUCCCAUCGCUCGCU